ACUCCUACGGGAGGCAGCAGUGGGGAAUUUUGGACAAUGGGCGAAAGCCUGAUCCAGCAAUGCCGCGUGUGUGAAGAAGGCCUUCGGGUUGUAAAGCACUUUUGUCCGGAAAGAAAUCCUUGGCUCUAAUACAGUCGGGGGAUGACGGUACCGGAAGAAUAAGCACCGGCUAACUACGUGCCAGCAGCCGCGGUAAUACGUAGGGUGCGAGCGUUAAUCGGAAUUACUGGGCGUAAAGCGUGCGCAGGCGGUUUGCUAAGACCGAUGUGAAAUCCCCGGGCUCAACCUGGGAACUGCAUUGGUGACUGGCAGGCUAGAGUAUGGCAGAGGGGGGUAGAAUUCCACGUGUAGCAGUGAAAGGCGUAGAGAUGUGGAGGAAUACCGAUGGCGAAGGCAGCCCCCUGGGCCAAUACUGACGCUCAUGCACGAAAGCGUGGGGAGCAAACAGGAUUAGAAACCCUUGUAGUCCCA
This 471-nucleotide ribosomal RNA is filed under the name uncultured organism. RNAcentral's name for it is "partial 16S ribosomal RNA". It matches the Rfam family "Bacterial small subunit ribosomal RNA", at positions 335 to 797 of the family's 1533-position model. The record is from RNAcentral.